RNAcentral lists this non-coding RNA (28 nucleotides) under Mus musculus (house mouse). The record is from RNAcentral. Lineage: Eukaryota; Metazoa; Chordata; Mammalia; Rodentia; Muridae.
UGGGUUACAGGUGUAUGCACAGGCUAUU